RNAcentral lists this ribosomal RNA (490 nucleotides) under uncultured bacterium. RNAcentral's name for it is "partial 16S ribosomal RNA". It matches the Rfam family "Bacterial small subunit ribosomal RNA", at positions 29 to 507 of the family's 1533-position model. The record is from RNAcentral.
AUUGAACGCUGGCGGCAGGCCUAACACAUGCAAGUCGAACGGUAACAGGAAGCAGCUUGCUGCUUCGCUGACGAGUGGCGGACGGGUGAGUAAUGUCUGGGAAGCUGCCUGAUGGAGGGGGAUAACUACUGGAAACGGUAGCUAAUACCGCAUAAUGUCGCAAGACCAAAGAGGGGGACCUUCGGGCCUCUUGCCAUCGGAUGUGCCCAGAUGGGAUUAGCUUGUUGGUGGGGUAACGGCUCACCAAGGCGACGAUCCCUAGCUGGUCUGAGAGGAUGACCGGCCACAUGGGAAGUGAGACACGGACCAGGCUCCUACGGGAGGCAGCAGUGGGGAAUAUUGCACAGUGGGGGCAAGCCUGAUGCAGCAGGGCGGCGUGAAGGAGGAAGGCCUUGGGUUUGUAAAGUCCUUUCGGGGGGGAGGAAGGGAGAAAGGUUAAUACUUUGCCUCAUUGACGUUACCGGAAAAAGAAGCACCGGCUAACUCCGGG